AGAGUUUGAUCCUGGCUCAGAAUGAACGCUGGCGGCACGGAUUAGGCAUGCAAGUCGAACGGUAGUCCUUACUUCGGUUUGGAUGAGAGUGGCGAAAGGGUGAGUAACGCGUGAGCAACCUGCCCUGAGGCCGGGGAUAGCCCUGCGAAAGCGGGAUUAAUACCGGAUGUGUCCAUGGUCUCUUAUGUGACCUUGGAUAAAGCUUCGGCGCCUCAGGAUGGGCUCGCGUCCGAUUAGCUUGUUGGUGAGGUAAUGGCUCACCAAGGCGAUGACCGGUAGCUGGUCUGAGAGGAUGGUCAGCCACACUGGGACUGAGACACUGCCCAGACCCCUACGGGAGGCUGCAGUCGAGAAUCUUCCGCAAUGCGCGAAAGCGUGACGGAGCGAUGCCGCGUGGAGGACGAAGGCCUUCGGGUCGUAAACUCCUGUCACCCGGGAUGAAGAUCUGACAGUACCGGGAGAGGAAGCUACGGCUAACUACGUGCCAGCAGCCGCGGUAAUACGUAGGUAGCAAGCGUUAUUCGGAUUUAUUGGGCGUAAAGGGUUCGUAGGGGGUUUGUCAAGUCUGGUGUGAAAUACCCCGGCUCAACCGGGGAGGUGCAUUGGAAACUGACAGACUUGAGGUCUGGAGAGGAAAGUGGAAUUCCUGGUGUAGCGGUGGAAUGCGUAGAUAUCAGGAAGAACACCGAUAGCGAAGGCAGCUUUCUGGCCAGAUUCUGACCCUGAAGAACGAAAGCUGGGGGAGCAAACAGGAUUAGAUACCCUGGUAGUCCCAGCCGUAAACGUUGUGCACUCGGUGUGGGGGGAUUUGGUUCCUUCCGUGCCCAAGCUAACGCGUUAAGUGCACCGCCUGGGGAGUACGGCGGCAACGCUAAAACUCAAAGGAAUUGACGGGGGCCCGCACAAGCGGUGGAGCAUGUGGCUUAAUUCGAGGCUACGCGAAGAACCUUACCUGGGUUUGACAUAUAUUCGACCGCCGGUGAAAGCCGGUUUCUCUUCGGAGCGGAUAUACAGGUGCUGCAUGGCUGUCGUCAGCUCGUGUCGUGAGAUGUUCGGUUAAGUCCGGCAACGAGCGCAACCCGUGUCGUCAGUUACCAUCGGGUAAUGCCGGGGACUCUGGCGAGACUGCCCGUGUCAAGCGGGAGGAAGGCGCGAUGACGUCAAGUCCGUAUGGCCCUUACAUCCAGGGCUGCACACGUGCUACAAUGGCCGGUACAAUGGGCAGCGAAACCGCGAGGUGGAGCGAAUCCCCAAAGCCGGCCCCAGUUCGGAUUGGAGUCUGCAAUUCGACUCCAUGAAGCCGGAAUCGCUAGUAAAGGCGUAUCAGCAACGGCGCCUUGAAUACGUUCCCGGGCCUUGUACACACCGCCCGUCACAUCACGGAAGCUGGUUGCACCCGAAGUCGCUGACCCAACCCUUCGGGGAGGGAGGCGCCGAAGGUGUGACUGGUGACUGGGAUGAAGUCGUAACAAGGUA
RNAcentral lists this ribosomal RNA (1476 nucleotides) under metagenome. Its description in RNAcentral is "bacterial SSU rRNA". It matches the Rfam family "Bacterial small subunit ribosomal RNA". The record is from RNAcentral.